This 253-nucleotide ribosomal RNA is filed under the name uncultured bacterium. RNAcentral's name for it is "partial 16S ribosomal RNA". It matches the Rfam family "Bacterial small subunit ribosomal RNA", at positions 524 to 776 of the family's 1533-position model. The record is from RNAcentral.
UACAGAGGAGGCAAGAGUUAUUCGGAAUCACUGGGCGUAAAGCGCACGCAGGCGGAUCGAUAAGUCGGGGGUGAAAGCCCGGGGCUCAACCUCGGAAUUGCCUUCGAUACUGUCGGUCUCGAGUCCGGGAGAGGUGAGUGGAAUUCCUAGUGUAGAGGUGAAAUUCGUAGAUAUUAGGAAGAACACCAGUGGCGAAGGCGGCUCACUGGCCCGGUACUGACGCUCAGGUGCGAAAGCGUGGGGAGCAAACACG